Molecule: non-coding RNA, 30 nt
Filed under: Mus musculus (house mouse)
Lineage: Eukaryota; Metazoa; Chordata; Mammalia; Rodentia; Muridae
Source: RNAcentral
UGGAAUACUGUGAUAUGGUGAAUUAGACUU